RNAcentral lists this transfer RNA (86 nucleotides) under bacterium SM23_57. Its description in RNAcentral is "tRNA-Leu". It matches the Rfam family "tRNA". Rfam says of the family: Transfer RNA (tRNA) molecules are approximately 80 nucleotides in length. Their secondary structure includes four short double-helical elements and three loops (D, anti-codon, and T loops). The record is from RNAcentral.
GCCGGGGUGGUGAAAUUGGUAGACGCAGCGGACUCAAAAUCCGCCGGGCUUUUGAGCCCGUGCCGGUUCGAUUCCGGCCCUCGGCA